AUGCAGCGAUGCCGCGUGAGUGAAGAAGGCCUUUGGGUUGUAAAGCUCUUUUGUCGGGAAAGAAAAUGACUGUACCCGAAUAAGAAGGUCCGGCUAACUUCGUGCCAGCAGCCGCGGUAAUACGAAGGGACCUAGCGUAGUUCGGAAUUACUGGGCUUAAAGAGUUCGUAGGUGGUUGAAAAAGUUGGUGGUGAAAUCCCAGAGCUUAACUCUGGAACUGCCAUCAAAACUUUUCAGCUAGAGUAUGAUAGAGGAAAGCAGAAUUUCUAGUGUAGAGGUGAAAUUCGUAGAUAUUAGAAAGAAUACCGAUUGCGAAGGCAGCUUUCUGGAUCAUUACUGACACUGAGGAACGAAAGCAUGGGUAGCGAAGAGGAUUAGAUACUCUCGUAGUCCAUGCCGUAAACGAUGUGUGUUAGACGUUGGAAAUUUAUUUUCAGUGUCGCAGCGAAAGCGAUAAACACACCGCCUGGGGAGUACGACCGCAAGGUUA
RNAcentral lists this ribosomal RNA (490 nucleotides) under uncultured Alphaproteobacteria bacterium. Its description in RNAcentral is "bacterial SSU rRNA". It matches the Rfam family "Bacterial small subunit ribosomal RNA", at positions 386 to 896 of the family's 1533-position model. Lineage: Bacteria; Pseudomonadati; Pseudomonadota; Alphaproteobacteria. The record is from RNAcentral.